GGUUCUCAUUGCUCCUCAUAUUGCUAUCUCUCCGCUUCUUUGAUCUUUGCUUUGGGAGAACAUGGGCUAUCUCUUUUUCUUCUUUUUUUUCAGGUGGGUAGUAGAUACCCCUAAUUCUACUGUCGGACACUUUUCCAUUUUUUCCGCCCAAGUGGGCAUUUUUGUACCCCUAAUUCUACUUCGGACACUUGUCCAUUUUUACCUCUCGUCUCACUCUUUUUCUUUCUUUUUCGAGGUUCUGGGCACUUGCCCCUUUUUAUUUCCUCGCAUAUUUUUGCAUAACCCAUGCCUCUUCUGCAUUGAAUCUUUUUAGAGAGAGAGAAUAACAAUAUUUGGGACAGUGAGUGAUAAUAUUUUUAGCAAUUUUAAUGAAUGGUGAUGGAUGGUGUAGUAGAUGUGUGCAAGUGAAUAUCUUAAUUUAACCACAUGAAAAGCUCCUAAAGGUCUACACAGCUCGAUCAAACUCAAUGUGAAUAUAGUAAAAGAUGUUAUAGCAACUAUGGCUGUGGUAGGUAAUUUGUUAUGCUAGGAACUCAUCAUGUGAUUUGUAAGUUUUCAAAAUAAAUCUCCAGAACUUAGUGUAGUAGGAACAAGAUAAACAGCAGCUCAACUUUAUAUCAUGUCUUUCUCUUACCUUGACUUUAGUUUUAUGCUUCCCAAAGAUAGUAAUUUUAGUUUUAGUAAUUCCUGGAAGAACUCUAAUAUAAAAGCUAGGUACUUAAAAGUAAGCAUACAGAGCAACUGUUCAUUAUUUCCAUCAUGCAUCUUUUUGAUCUUUUUGUUUUUUCUAG
Molecule: long non-coding RNA, 791 nt
Filed under: Sorghum bicolor (sorghum)
Lineage: Eukaryota; Viridiplantae; Streptophyta; Magnoliopsida; Poales; Poaceae
Description: long non-coding RNA (SBIC_LNC004854)
Source: RNAcentral